CCUGGUGGCUCAGAUGGUAAAGAAUCUGCCUGCAAUGCAGGAGACCCGGGUUCAAUUCCUGGGUCAGGA
RNAcentral lists this transfer RNA (69 nucleotides) under Bos taurus (domestic cattle). It matches the Rfam family "tRNA". From Rfam's summary of the family: Transfer RNA (tRNA) molecules are approximately 80 nucleotides in length. Their secondary structure includes four short double-helical elements and three loops (D, anti-codon, and T loops). Lineage: Eukaryota; Metazoa; Chordata; Mammalia; Artiodactyla; Bovidae. The record is from Rfam by way of RNAcentral. RNAcentral also lists the same sequence under 4 other names.